GGAAGUAUGCCCGAGACCAUAAGGCCCACUUUGAUAGAGUGCACUACAGGGGUUAGACCCCCCUUACUUCCU
This 72-nucleotide transfer RNA is filed under the name Crossobamon orientalis. Its description in RNAcentral is "tRNA-Ile". Lineage: Eukaryota; Metazoa; Chordata; Lepidosauria; Squamata; Gekkonidae. The record is from RNAcentral.